This 21-nucleotide unclassified non-coding RNA is filed under the name Mus musculus (house mouse). Its description in RNAcentral is "oocyte_clustered_small_RNA6077". The record is from RNAcentral. Lineage: Eukaryota; Metazoa; Chordata; Mammalia; Rodentia; Muridae.
AAAGGAUGCAGUACUAGAACU